This 286-nucleotide unclassified non-coding RNA is filed under the name Hevea brasiliensis (rubber tree). Lineage: Eukaryota; Viridiplantae; Streptophyta; Magnoliopsida; Malpighiales; Euphorbiaceae. The record is from RNAcentral.
UAAGCUAGCAGGGGCUUCCGAACCAGACAUUUCUGCAGUUCUGAAAAAUCAUUCAUCCAAUGAAGUUGGUGUGGAGUGUGACGAAAAGAAGGUUGUGGAUGUCAACCCUGAAGCUUCGGAAACAAACACCAGGGAUGAAGAUAAACACAUUCUUGAAACUUGACUUUCACUCAGUGGGGAUGCGGAGGUGGUUAUGGUGAACAUGCUUGGGUUGGAUGAGUUUUUACCUGCCUUUCCGACAAUUCUUCCAAAGAGUUUGUUGGUAUACAUCAUAAAUGUCUCUUUG